RNAcentral lists this ribosomal RNA (500 nucleotides) under uncultured bacterium. Its description in RNAcentral is "partial 16S ribosomal RNA". It matches the Rfam family "Bacterial small subunit ribosomal RNA", at positions 28 to 507 of the family's 1533-position model. The record is from RNAcentral.
GACGAACGCUGGCGGCGUGCCUAAUACAUGCAAGUCGAGCGGACUGAUUAAGAGCUUGCUCCUAUGACGUUAGCGGCGGACGGGUGAGUAACACGUGGGCAACCUGCCCUGUAGAUCGGGAUAACACCGAGAAAUCGGUGCUAAUACCGGGUAAUAUCUGAGAUCACAUGAUCUUAGGUUAAAAGAUGGCUCCGGCUAUCACUACAGGAUGGGCCCGCGGCGCAUUAGCUAGUUGGUAAGGUAAUGGCUUACCGAGGCGACGAUGCGUAGCCGACCUGAGAGGGUGAUCGGCCACACUGGGACUGAGACACGGCCCAGACUCCUACGGGAGGCAGCAGUAGGGAAUCUUCCGCAAUGGACGAAAGUCUGACGGAGCAACGCCGCGUGAGUGAUGAAGGGUUUCGGCUCGUAAAGCUCUGUUGUUAGGGAAGAAACAGUACCGAACGAACUAGGUCGGUACCUUGACGGUACCUAACCAGAAAGCCACGGCUAACUACGUG